CCUACGGGAGGUAGCAGUGGGGAAUAUUGGACAAUGGGCGAAAGCCUGAUCCAGCAAUGCCGCGUGAGUGAUGAAGGCCUUCGGGUCGUAAAGCUCUUUUACCAGGGAUGAUAAUGACAGUACCUGGAGAAUAAGCUCCGGCUAACUCCGUGCCAGCAGCCGCGGUAAUACGGAGGGAGCUAGCGUUGUUCGGAAUUACUGGGCGUAAAGAGUACGUAGGCGGUUAUUCAAGUCAGAGGUGAAAGCCCGGGGCUCAACCCCGGAACUGCCUUUGAAACUAGAUAACUAGAGUCUUGGAGAGGUUAGUGGAAUUCCGAGUGUAGAGGUGAAAUUCGUAGAUAUUCGGAAGAACACCAGUGGCGAAGGCGACUAACUGGACAAGUACUGACGCUGAGGUACGAAAGCGUGGGGAGCAAACAGGAUUAGAUACCCUGGUAGUCCACGCCGUAAACGAUGAUAACUAGUUGUUCGGUCACUUGGUGACUGAGUGACGCAGCUAACGCAUUAAGUUAUCCGCCUGGGGAGUACGGUCGCAAGAUUAAAACUCAAAGGAAUUGACGG
RNAcentral lists this ribosomal RNA (561 nucleotides) under uncultured bacterium. RNAcentral's name for it is "bacterial SSU rRNA". It matches the Rfam family "Bacterial small subunit ribosomal RNA", at positions 338 to 916 of the family's 1533-position model. The record is from RNAcentral.